Molecule: ribosomal RNA, 660 nt
Filed under: Triticum aestivum (bread wheat)
Lineage: Eukaryota; Viridiplantae; Streptophyta; Magnoliopsida; Poales; Poaceae
Description: partial small subunit ribosomal RNA
Source: RNAcentral
AUGGCUUUCUCACAUGGUCGUUUACUACACGAAGGAUCUCCUGUUGAGAUAUCAUCAUCAAUGGAUGAAGCGCUUUGCAAGAUGGAGCAGGAUGUGCUCCCGAGGAAUAAAAAGGAGACACAAGCCCCUUCAAGCUUUGGUGCGGUAGAUGCUACCACUUCUGAUGAUGUGCACAGCAGUGUCACCCCAGGUUCUGUUCGGCCGGCAAGGGUUGUGCAACCUCCCCCAGAAGUGGAUUUCGAACCUCCAAUAAAGGCCACGAAGCAACAACAAGAACUUUAUGAUAUCAUGAGGCGUUUUGGAAAUGUGCGAAGUAACAACAUGCAUAUGAAUGCAAUCAGAGAAACUAAGGUCAUCAACUGCUACUCCACGUUCGUUCACAUGGACGAUCUCACCAAGUCUCUGAUGCAUACCGGCAAACUAUCCCAGAAUGUUUUUGCCGCGGGUAUUGACUAUAUCAACGGACACAUUGACAUCCAUCCCGAUAAGAUCAUUAUGAGCACAACCAUCAUGAGGAGAAUUUGGGACAGCGACUUCUCUCAUCCCCAAGUUUGUAAAGUGUUUGCCCAACAUGGUGACUACAAGCUCACACUGAAGAAAUUUGUGAUGUUCGAGAUGUUCCAAGAGCUUGCUCCCAAUGAUUCACACGACAAAGUUUGA